Molecule: ribosomal RNA, 254 nt
Filed under: uncultured bacterium
Lineage: Bacteria
Description: partial 16S ribosomal RNA
Rfam family: Bacterial small subunit ribosomal RNA
Source: RNAcentral
UACAGAGGUCUCAAGCGUUGUUCGGAUUCAUUGGCGUAAAGGGUGCGUAGGUGGCGCUGUAAGUCGGGUGUGAAAUUUCGGAGCUUAACUCCGAAACUGCAUUCGAUACUGCGGUGCUUGAGGACUGGAGAGGAGACUGGAAUUCGAUGGUGUAGCAGUGAAAUGCGUAGAUAUCAAAGAGGAACACCAGUGGCGAAGGCGAGUCCCUGGACAACACCUGACACUGAGGCACGAAAGCUAGGGGAGCAAACAGG